RNAcentral lists this ribosomal RNA (710 nucleotides) under Rhodococcus canchipurensis. Its description in RNAcentral is "bacterial SSU rRNA". It matches the Rfam family "Bacterial small subunit ribosomal RNA", at positions 56 to 782 of the family's 1533-position model. Lineage: Bacteria; Bacillati; Actinomycetota; Actinomycetes; Mycobacteriales; Nocardiaceae. RNAcentral also lists the same sequence under 1 other name. The record is from RNAcentral.
UGCAGUCGAGCGGUAAGGCCCUUUCGGGGGUACACGAGCGGCGAACGGGUGAGUAACACGUGGGUGAUCUGCCCUGCACUUCGGGAUAAGCCUGGGAAACUGGGUCUAAUACCGGAUAUGACCAGAGGCUGCAUGGCUUUUGGUGGAAAGGUUUACUGGUGCAGGAUGGGCCCGCGGCCUAUCAGCUUGUUGGUGGGGUAAUGGCCUACCAAGGCGACGACGGGUAGCCGACCUGAGAGGGUGACCGGCCACACUGGGACUGAGACACGGCCCAGACUCCUACGGGAGGCAGCAGUGGGGAAUAUUGCACAAUGGGCGAAAGCCUGAUGCAGCGACGCCGCGUGAGGGAUGACGGCCUUCGGGUUGUAAACCUCUUUCAGCAGGGACGAAGCGAAAGUGACGGUACCUGCAGAAGAAGCACCGGCCAACUACGUGCCAGCAGCCGCGGUAAUACGUAGGGUGCGAGCGUUGUCCGGAAUUACUGGGCGUAAAGAGCUCGUAGGCGGUUUGUCGCGUCGUCUGUGAAAACCAGCAGCUCAACUGCUGGCUUGCAGGCGAUACGGGCAGACUUGAGUACUGCAGGGGAGACUGGAAUUCCUGGUGUAGCGGUGAAAUGCGCAGAUAUCAGGAGGAACACCGGUGGCGAAGGCGGGUCUCUGGGCAGUAACUGACGCUGAGGAGCGAAAGCGUGGGUAGCGAACAGGAUUAGA